Molecule: unclassified non-coding RNA, 434 nt
Filed under: soil metagenome
Description: partial contains 5.8S ribosomal RNA, internal transcribed spacer 2, and large subunit ribosomal RNA
Rfam family: 5.8S ribosomal RNA (bases 1-120)
Source: RNAcentral
GAUGAAGAACGUAGCGAAAUGCGAUACGUAAUGUGAAUUGCAGAAUUCAGUGAAUCAUCGAAUCUUUGAACGCAUAUUGCGCUCUUUGGUAUUCCGAAGAGCAUGCUUGUUUGAGUAUCAGUAAACACCUCAAAGCUUUUGGAUUUUUUAAUCGAAAAGCUUUGGACUUGAGCAAUCCCAACACCAAUCUUUUUGAGAUCGGUGGCGGGUUGCUUGAAAUGCAGGUGCAGCUGGACAUUUUCCUGAGCUAAAAGCAUAUUCAUUUAGUCCCGUCAAACGGAUUAUUACUUUUGCUGCAGCUAACAUAAAGGGAGUUUGACCGUAUUGGCUGACUGAUGCAGGAUUUCACAAGGGUCGGCAACGAUUCUUGUUAAACUCGAUCUCAAAUCAAGUAAGACUACCCGCUGAACUUAAGCACAUCAAUAAGCGGAGGA